GAGCGAAAGAUAAGGAGCUUGCUCCUUUGACGUUAGCGGCGGACGGGUGAGUAACACGUGGGUAACCUACCUAUAAGACUGGAAUAACUCCGGGAAACCGGGGCUAAUGCCGGAUAACAUAUAGAACCGCAUGGUUCUAUAGUGAAAGAUGGUUUUGCUAUCACUUAUAGAUGGACCCGCGCCGUAUUAGCUAGUUGGUAAGGUAAUGGCUUACCAAGGCGACGAUACGUAGCCGACCUGAGAGGGUGAUCGGCCACACUGGAACUGAGACACGGUCCAGACUCCUACGGGAGGCAGCAGUAGGGAAUCUUCCGCAAUGGGCGAAAGCCUGACGGAGCAACGCCGCGUGAGUGAUGAAGGGUUUCGGCUCGUAAAACUCUGUUAUUAGGGAAGAACAUAUGUGUAAGUAACUGUGCACAUCUUGACGGUACCUAAUCAGAAAGCCACGGCUAACUACGUGCCAGCAGCCGCGGUAAUACGUAGGUGGCAAGCGUUAUCCGGAAUUAUUGGGCGUAAAGCGCGCGUAGGCGGUUUCUUAAGUCUGAUGUGAAAGCCCACGGCUCAACCGUGGAGGGUCAUUGGAAACUGGGAAACUUGAGUGCAGAAGAGGAAAGUGGAAUUCCAUGUGUAGCGGUGAAAUGCGCAGAGAUAUGGAGGAACACCAGUGGCGAAGGCGACUUUCUGGUCUGUAACUGACGCUGAUGUGCGAAAGCGUGGGGAUCAAACAGGAUUAGAUACCCUGGUAGUCCACGCCGUAAACGAUGAGUGCUAAGUGUUAGGGGGUUUCCGCCCCUUAGUGCUGCAGCUAACGCAUUAAGCACUCCGCCUGGG
RNAcentral lists this ribosomal RNA (831 nucleotides) under Staphylococcus sp. SK10. RNAcentral's name for it is "bacterial SSU rRNA". It matches the Rfam family "Bacterial small subunit ribosomal RNA", at positions 64 to 877 of the family's 1533-position model. The record is from RNAcentral. Lineage: Bacteria; Bacillati; Bacillota; Bacilli; Caryophanales; Staphylococcaceae.